RNAcentral lists this unclassified non-coding RNA (372 nucleotides) under uncultured Gammaproteobacteria bacterium. Its description in RNAcentral is "contains 16S-23S intergenic spacer region". The record is from RNAcentral. Lineage: Bacteria; Pseudomonadati; Pseudomonadota; Gammaproteobacteria.
UCCGGUUUGUCACCGGCAGUCUCAUUAGAGUGCCCUUUCGUAGCAACUAAUGACAAGGGUUGCGCUCGUUGCGGGACUUAACCCAACAUCUCACGACACGAGCUGACGACAGCCAUGCAGCACCUGUGUUACGGUUCUCUUUCGAGCACAAUCUGAUCUCUCAAAUCUUCCGUACAUGUCAAGGGUAGGUAAGGUUUUUCGCGUUGCAUCGAAUUAAUCCACAUCAUCCACCGCUUGUGCGGGUCCCCGUCAAUUCCUUUGAGUUUUAAUCUUGCGACCGUACUCCCCAGGCGGUCUACUUCACGCGUUAGCUGCGUUACCAAGUCAAUUAAGACCCGACAACUAGUAGACAUCGUUUAGGGCGUGGACUAC